Molecule: long non-coding RNA, 278 nt
Filed under: Gossypium barbadense (sea-island cotton)
Lineage: Eukaryota; Viridiplantae; Streptophyta; Magnoliopsida; Malvales; Malvaceae
Description: long non-coding RNA (GBAR_LNC007499)
Source: RNAcentral
ACAAUAUUUAAUUGGUGCAUGUGUAAUCUUCUAACGUAGCUGACGGUUAAAUUAGCUAUUGUAUUAAACAAUACAUUAGCCUUGCAUAAUUUGCAAGAUUAUUGUGAUUAAAUUGUUUCAAUAUAGAGAUAUAUUGUUACUUCACUUAAUCUUUUACUUGCUUAUUAAAAUUCGAUUAACCGUUUUAACUGACAUAAAUAUAUGAUCAAGAGGUGAUUGGGUUUUAGUUGGUAAGUAUGUGAAUUAGUUAGCAAGUUACGGAGUGCUGUGAAAUUAUU